GCCCCCUUAGCUUAGUUGGCAGAGCACCCGCUUAGUAACUAUGGUAGUCACGCUAAGGAGCGGGAGGCCGCGAGUUCGAACCUCGCAGGUGGCU
This 94-nucleotide transfer RNA is filed under the name Chrysochromulina tobinii. RNAcentral's name for it is "Chrysochromulina sp. CCMP291 tRNA". It matches the Rfam family "tRNA". Rfam says of the family: Transfer RNA (tRNA) molecules are approximately 80 nucleotides in length. Their secondary structure includes four short double-helical elements and three loops (D, anti-codon, and T loops). Further hydrogen bonds mediate the characteristic L-shaped molecular structure. tRNAs have two regions of fundamental functional importance: the anti-codon, which is responsible for specific mRNA codon recognition, and the 3' end, to which the tRNAs corresponding amino acid is attached (by aminoacyl-tRNA synthetases). tRNAs cope with the degeneracy of the genetic code in two manners: having more than one tRNA (with a specific anti-codon) for a particular amino acid; and 'wobble' base-pairing, i.e. permitting non-standard base-pairing at the 3rd anti-codon position. The record is from Rfam by way of RNAcentral. Lineage: Eukaryota; Haptophyta; Prymnesiales; Chrysochromulinaceae.